Molecule: ribosomal RNA, 253 nt
Filed under: uncultured bacterium
Lineage: Bacteria
Description: partial 16S ribosomal RNA
Rfam family: Bacterial small subunit ribosomal RNA
Source: RNAcentral
GACAGAGGAUGCAAGCGUUAUCCGGAAUGAUUGGGCGUAAAGCGUCUGUAGGUGGCUUUUUAAGUCCGCCGUCAAAUCCCAGGGCUCAACCCUGGACAGGCGGUGGAAACUACCAAGCUGGAGUACGGUAGGGGCAGAGGGAAUUUCCGGUGGAGCGGUGAAAUGCGCAGAUAUCAGGAGGAACACCGGUGGCGAAGGCGGGUCUCUGGGCCGAUACUGACGCUGAGGAGCGAAAGCGUGGGGAGCGAACAAG